Molecule: small RNA, 148 nt
Filed under: Pongo abelii (Sumatran orangutan)
Lineage: Eukaryota; Metazoa; Chordata; Mammalia; Primates; Hominidae
Description: Metazoan signal recognition particle RNA (ENSPPYG00000032549.1)
Source: Rfam by way of RNAcentral
GCCAGGUGUGGUGGUGGGCACCUGUAAUCCCAGCUACUCGGGAGGCUGAGGCAGGAGAAUUGCUUGAACCCAGGAGGCAGAAGAUGUAGUGAGCCGAGAUCACACCACUGCACUCUAGCCUGGGUGACAAAGCAAGACCCUGUCUCGG